Molecule: ribosomal RNA, 418 nt
Filed under: uncultured cyanobacterium
Lineage: Bacteria; Bacillati; Cyanobacteriota
Description: bacterial SSU rRNA
Rfam family: Bacterial small subunit ribosomal RNA
Source: RNAcentral
GGGCGAAGCCUGACGGAGCAGACCGCGUGGGGGAAGAAGGCUCUUGGGUUGUAAACCCCUUUUCUCUGGGAAGAAAGUUGUGAAAGCAACCUGACGGUACCACGAGGAAUCAGCAUCGGCUAACUCCGUGCCAGCAGCCGCGGUAAGACGGAGGAUGCAAGCGUUAUCCGGAAUGAUUGGGCGUAAAGCGUCCGCAGGUGGCAGUUCAAGUCUGCUGUCAAAGACCGGGGCUUAACCUCGGAAAGGCAGUGGAAACUGAACAGCUAGAGUAUGGUAGGGGCAAAGGGAAUUCCUGGUGUAGCGGUGAAAUGCGUAGAGAUCAGGAAGAACAUCGGUGGCGAAAGCGCGUGACUGGGCCAUAACUGACGCUGAGGAACGAAAGCCAGGGUAGCAAAAGGGAUUAGAUACCCCUGUAGUC